Molecule: ribosomal RNA, 372 nt
Filed under: uncultured organism
Description: partial 16S ribosomal RNA
Rfam family: Bacterial small subunit ribosomal RNA
Source: RNAcentral
GUAGGUGGCAAGCGUUGUCCGGAAUUAUUGUGCGUAAAGCGCGCGCAGGCGGUCCUUUAAGUCUGAUGUGAAAGCCCACGGCUCAACCGUGGAGGGUCAUUGGAAACUGGGGGACUUGAGUACAGAAGAGGAAAGCGGAAUUCCAAGUGUAGCGGUGAAAUGCGUAGAGAUUUGGAGGAACACCAGUGGCGAAGGCGGCUUUCUGGUCUGUAACUGACGCUGAGGCGCGAAAGCGUGGGGAGCAAACAGGGAUUAGAUACCCUGGUAGUCCACGCCGUAAACGAUGAGUGCUAAGUGUUAGGGGGUUUCCCGCCCCUUAGUGCUGCAGCUAACGCAUUAAGCACUCCGCCUGGGGAUACGGCCGCAAGGCUG